RNAcentral lists this ribosomal RNA (218 nucleotides) under Sedimentisphaerales bacterium. RNAcentral describes it as "partial 23S ribosomal RNA". It matches the Rfam family "Bacterial large subunit ribosomal RNA", at positions 2711 to 2925 of the family's 2925-position model. Lineage: Bacteria; Pseudomonadati; Planctomycetota; Phycisphaerae; Sedimentisphaerales. The record is from RNAcentral.
GGUGUACCGGUUGUCCCGCUAGGGGCACCGCCGGGUAGCUAAGUCGGGAAAGGAUAACCGCUGAAAGCAUCUAAGCGGGAAGCCCACUCCAAGAUGAGGAUUCCAUUCGGUCUUCGGGCCGAUGAAGAGCCCUGGAAGACUACCAGGUUGAUAGGCCGGGUGUGUAAGCGCAGAAAUGCGUUGAGCUAACCGGUACUAACGCUCGAUUACUUGGCCGU